This 427-nucleotide ribosomal RNA is filed under the name uncultured bacterium. RNAcentral describes it as "bacterial SSU rRNA". It matches the Rfam family "Bacterial small subunit ribosomal RNA", at positions 474 to 903 of the family's 1533-position model. The record is from RNAcentral.
UGUACCCGAAUAAGAAGGUCCGGCUAACUUCGUGCCAGCAGCCGCGGUAAUACGAAGGGACCUAGCGUAGUUCGGAAUUACUGGGCUUAAAGAGUUCGUAGGUGGUUGAAAAAGUUGGUGGUGAAAUCCCAGAGCUUAACUCUGGAACUGCCAUCAAAACUUUUCAGCUAGAGUAUGAUAGAGGAAAGCAGAAUUUCUAGUGUAGAGGUGAAAUUCGUAGAUAUUAGAAAGAAUACCAAUUGCGAAGGCAGCUUUCUGGAUCAUUACUGACACUGAGGAACGAAAGCAUGGGUAGCGAAGAGGAUUAGAUACCCUCGUAGUCCAUGCCGUAAACGAUGUGUGUUAGACGUUGGAAAUUUAUUUUCAGUGUCGCAGCGAAAGCGAUAAACACACCGCCUGGGGAGUACGACCGCAAGGUUAAAACUCA